GAUGAAUGCUGGCGGCGUGCCUAACACAUGCAAGUCGAGCGGUAACAGGUCUAGUUUACUAGAUGCUGACGAGCGGCGGACGGCUGAGUAACGCGUAGGAACGUGCCCCAAAGUGAGGAAUAACUGCCCGAAAGGGUGGCUAAUGCCGCAUAUGAUCUUCUGAUUAAAGUCUUCGGACGCUUUGGGAGCGGCCUGCGUUA
Molecule: ribosomal RNA, 200 nt
Filed under: uncultured bacterium
Lineage: Bacteria
Description: partial 16S ribosomal RNA
Rfam family: Bacterial small subunit ribosomal RNA
Source: RNAcentral